Long non-coding RNA from Zonotrichia leucophrys gambelii, 1804 nucleotides. RefSeq lists it as uncharacterized. The record is from RefSeq and is a predicted model, not a curated record. The transcript is spliced from 3 exons. NCBI's taxonomy places the organism in Eukaryota, Metazoa, Chordata, Aves, Passeriformes, Passerellidae.
GAACCCCUGACUGGUUUCAAAUGUGUCUGUGACUCCCAGCCUGGUCCAGAGUCCUUUUCUGAGGAGCAUGUUCCUGCUUUUGUUCUUUGGGAAUAAUGUCCACCUCCUGUAGCUGGUGGGGUGCUCUGAGGAAGGCAUUCCAUCUGCACAGAACAGGAUCAUACCUCUUUGGGAGAUAAAGAACACAACAGAAUUUUGAGCAAAGAAAACCUGGAAAUGCUUCUUGCUCAGCUAAACAGAAUGACGUGGUGGCCUUGGAAAAUGACACAUUGCAGGCUAGCACUGGGGAAAGUGCAAAUGAAGCAUCAGAAGGUGUUUGAAAUUGUGGGGAAAAUGAUGGAGAAACAGCUUCAAAAUGCUUACUUAUCUCCUUCAACUGUCCAUGCUGGAUAACAGGGAUAUACAUGUGCUGUAAAGAAAGGUGACAGUCCUGGACAAUAAACCGCGUGUUACCGAGUUCAGGGGCUUUCACCGGACGUGAUGGAAGGCCUGCAGAUGGCCCUGAAGAUGGGGCAGGGACAGUUCCCUCCUGCAGCAUGCUUUAUGCCUGAAGCACAAUUUCAGGGGUGUACCUGGCUGGAAGAACAACCUGUACUUGGCUGUGUUUCUGUGCUCGUGUUAUGAGGAGCCAUGCCAUGGAAAACAUGGAAUGCUCUAGGGGGCUGCACUGUGAGCCCUCUGCAGCCUCACCAUGACCAUCUCUGCAGCAAAGAGCCUUAACAGCAAAGGGAUUAUGGAAUUUUGGGAUCUGGUGAGCCUCUGUGUGUGCAAAACCCUGGUUAUGAUACGUAGUAUGUUGCCUUGCUUUAUGGAAGCGUCUAUUACACUCUCGAAUUUAUGAUACUCUACUGUGCAUGGUUAGUAAGUAGGUUUCUCCUGCUUAGGAAGCCUCCCUGAAGGAAGAAAAAACUGUAUUAAAAUGUGCCUCCAAACUCUGACAGGGUCAGCGUGGCACCAGGUGAAAAGGUUUCACAGAGAGGUAAUAUACUGCAAGUGCAAUAUUCUGACUUCUUACAGUGAAGGCUUCUGACUGAAAGGUUUUCCUUGUCAGGGAGGGUAUGUUUGUGUUCUGACCUAAAAGCUCUCUGGUGGUAGAGGGAGGUCUCAGAAUAUAAGGAGAACUUUAAAAAAAUCAUAUGAUACAGUGAUUGUUUUGCACAAGUUUUUGAACUCUUGACUCAAAGCACUCGGUAUGCAGAGAGCUGAAUGCCAGUUUGUGUAAAAGAGAGAUUCAACAAUGUAGGAGUAAGGAUUUACUAAAAGGAUUUGGAUAAGUAACUCCUAGCAUUCUACCUCAGUAGCUCCCAUCUCUGGCUUCUGUGCUGUGGUGUGAAAAGAUCUGCAUCCCCAGAUCAGCAUAUGGAUUUUUGUUCCAAUGCUUCAGUCUCUUAUGUUAAUGGCAAGGAGAUGGAGAUAAAAUAUGGUGCUGAGCUGAGAAGAGUGUAUUUAGUGCUCUAUAUGCCGCCUUAUGCAAUGGAUUCUUUUUCUACCAUGUAACCCUAUCCUGGGGGAGGUGAUUUGAUUGCAAGCAUGGUUGCAAUUAAGUCCAGAAAGUAUCCUGGACAAGGCUAAUCUUGUUAACACCAUACUACUGGAAGGUGGUAGUUAAUAUCAUGCUAAAAGCAAUGUCAGAACUAAGAUAUUUGAUAAACAGAGUUUGUAUAUUUAAUAUUAUUACUGCAUGAAAAAUCUCAAGUUGUACAUAUUUCUUAAAAAUGAAGGCUUGACAACAAUGUCCCUGGUUUUUUUUUCAUAGAAAUACAGAUGUACAGCAUAAACAAAUACACCAGGUUUGUAAUUCUGC